RNAcentral lists this ribosomal RNA (468 nucleotides) under uncultured bacterium. Its description in RNAcentral is "partial 16S ribosomal RNA". It matches the Rfam family "Bacterial small subunit ribosomal RNA", at positions 28 to 507 of the family's 1533-position model. The record is from RNAcentral.
GACGAACGCUGGCGGCGUGCUUAGCACAUGCAAGUCGAACGGAAAGGCCCUGCUUUUGUGGGGUGCUCGAGUGGCGAACGGGUGAGUAACACGUGAGUAACCUGCCCUUGACUUUGGGAUAACUUCAGGAAACUGGGGCUAAUACCGGAUAGGAGCUCCCGCUGCAUGGUGGGGGUUGGAAAGUUUCGGCGGUUGGGGAUGGACUCGCGGCUUAUCAGCUUGUUGGUGGGGUAGUGGCUUACCAAGGCUUUGACGGGUAGCCGGCCUGAGAGGGUGACCGGCCACAAUGGGACUGAGAGACGGCCCAGACUCCUACGGGAGGCAGCAGUGGGGAAUAUUGCACAAUGGGCGGAAGCCUGAUGCAGCAACGCCGCGUGCGGGAUGACGGCCUUCGGGUUGUAAACCGCUUUCGCCUGUGACGAAGCGUGAGUGACGGUAAUGGGUAAAGAAGCACCGGCUAACUACGUG